UACGAAGGGUGCUAGCGUUGUUCGGAAUCACUGGGCGUAAAGCGCGCGUAGGCGGCUUUGCAAGUCAGAGGUGAAAUCCCCAGGCUCAACCUGGGAACUGCCUUUGAAACUGCAAGGCUAGAGUGUCGGAGGGGAUAGCGGAAUUGCUAAUGUAGAGGUGAAAUUCGUAGAUAUUAGCAGGAACACCGGUGGCGAAGGCGGCUAUCUGGACGACAACUGACGCUGAGGCGCGAAAGUGUGGGGAUCAAACAGG
RNAcentral lists this ribosomal RNA (253 nucleotides) under uncultured bacterium. RNAcentral's name for it is "partial 16S ribosomal RNA". It matches the Rfam family "Bacterial small subunit ribosomal RNA", at positions 524 to 776 of the family's 1533-position model. The record is from RNAcentral.